This 492-nucleotide ribosomal RNA is filed under the name uncultured bacterium. RNAcentral describes it as "partial 16S ribosomal RNA". It matches the Rfam family "Bacterial small subunit ribosomal RNA", at positions 29 to 507 of the family's 1533-position model. The record is from RNAcentral.
AGUGAACGCUGGCGAUAGGCCUAACACAUGCAAGUCGAACGGCAGCACAGUAAGAGCUUGCUCUUACGGGUGGCGAGUGGCGGGCGGGUGAGGAAUACAUCGGAAUCUACUUUUUCGUGGGGGAUAACGUAGGGAAACUUACGCUAAUACCGCAUACGACCUACGGGUGAAAUCAGGGGAUCUUCGGACCUUGCGCGAUUGAAUGAGCCGAUGUCGGAUUAGCUAGUUGGCGGGGUAAAGGCCCACCAAGGCGACGAUCCGUAGCUGGUCUGAGAGGAUGAUCAGCCACACUGGAACUGAGACACGGUCCAGACUCCUACGGGAGGCAGCAGUGGGGAAUAUUGGACAAUGGGCGCAAGCCUGAUCCAGCCAUACCGCGUGGGUGAAGAAGGCCUUCGGGUUGUAAAGCCCUUUUGUUGGGAAAGAAAAGCAGCAGGUUAAUACCCCGCUGUUCUGACGGUACCCAAAGAAUAAGCACCGGCUAACUUCGUG